RNAcentral lists this ribosomal RNA (2366 nucleotides) under Triticum aestivum (bread wheat). RNAcentral's name for it is "partial small subunit ribosomal RNA". The record is from RNAcentral. Lineage: Eukaryota; Viridiplantae; Streptophyta; Magnoliopsida; Poales; Poaceae.
UUGGGUUGGCGUAUCAACCGCGUGGCGGUGGCAGGCAGGAGAGGUUUGGAGGGUCAAGCGUUGGAGGCAGCCGCGCGCGCGGCCACUGUGGCGGGAAGGACUGGUGUAGAUAGAAGGAAGGUAGCGGCCACCGCCGUCGAGGCUAGCGUAGCGUACUGGUCCUCGGUGUGGGGCUUUAGGGAGCGGCAGGACGAGGCACGGUCCUACGUGGGGCUGAGAUAGGGGAGCGGCGGCGGGCGAGGCAGUGGGCGGCGGUCGGGGCUCGGGCCGGGGUCACGGGCCUGUCGGCGGCGGAGGAGGCAGGCGGUGACCGAGGUGCGGAGUUAGCGGCGCCGGAGGGGCGGAGGGCGGCGGGAGCUCACGAAGAGGCUGCCCAUGGCGAGGGAGCUGGCUCCGCCGGCGGUGCUCUAGGAGGCUAGGGAGCGGUGUCUGAUGCUGCACGGGGCGCGCGCCCAAGCGCUGGAGUACGCGGUCAUGCACUCGCAGAGGCGGUGGCCCCUCCCACCCCUGGUCGUCGGCCCCCGCCUCUCUCUCCUCCCGCCGCGGCGUAGCCGAAACAUGGCAUACCUCUCCCCCGAGGCCCUGCGGGAGGCCGGGUUCAUGCGGCCCAAGGAGCUCCGGUACUUGCGCGUCGGACCGCCCGAGUUCGAGGAGCGCCAGUAGGCUCGGCUGGAGGAGCGGAACGACCCCCUCCUCUUACGAGGUCACGACGCACGUAACCUACCCAUGAACUUCCUCUUCGAGCACUGCACCGAGUCGGGUCGCCGUGACCGUGAGGUGGUCUAUUGGACCCUACUAGGACGGAGGAACGAGCUCUUCUAACACCGAAUACUUCGACACGUAGGUUAGUCCUUAGACUAUCUGAACUUCUCUUCCGACCCACACCCGGCUGCAACAAAACCAAUGAAGGUAGGACGCUAUGGUCCCCUCGGGGACUAAAAGUAGCUUCAACGAGAGGAGUUUCUAUACCGGUGUAGAUAUGUCCUUCAAAACAACCUACAGGGAGGUUAGCGACUUACACUUCGAUUUACACGUGACAAAAUGAGUUAUAGCAGUUGGGUCGGUCCGAAUAGUCCAUAAUUAGACCCUUUCAAAGAAGAGUUCGCACAGUAACUGUACAACUCUUUUCUAUACGGAAGGCACGUCUAAAAACGAUGAGAAUCGGGCUAUGGACCAAAGUACGUUACCGAAGAGCGAUUCAACCGGAGAGUUUAUUUUAAUCGUCUCUGUCUCUACGUUCUCCCGUUAAGCUAUCUUCCACGGUCAAGAUGAAAGUCUCUUAGGUAGGAAAAGGGCCUCCUUCUCUUCUACUAUGUGUCACGGUAGCUAGUUCAGUUGCCAUUUGUUCCUUAACUUGAAAACGUUCUAUAUGACUUUAGUUCAGUUACCCGUUUCAGACUUUUUAAUAGACGACGCGACUUUAGAGGAGAAUACGCAAACACACAUUCCAUAGAAUGGUCUCUCUUUUAUGCUCCUUUUCGAGAUCUACGACAACGAUUAAAAGUGAACGUUUUACCUCGUUACCAACUCUCUUAUUUGACCUACCGGCUGGUUAGGCUCUUCCCGUAACUUGUUUCACCUCCAUAGUACCAGUUAAUAGACAUGUCCAACCUCUUAUAUCUUCUUAUACGUAGCAGAAUAAGCCGAUGUCCCUAAUAGGUAUGCAGUAGAUCGGAAAGGAUUGUACAACUCGGUGUAUAUAUACUUUACCUCUACGUCAACGAAGUAGUGUAGUUGUGUAGCAUAGACACACACUAUGUGAGUUGUUUCUACUAAAUGAUGCUUUCCCAGACUGUGGAGAAGACGCCAAAUUAGGUCCCGUGUACAAAUCAAACCAUCACCGACAAGGAAGGCAUAUGAUGGAAGAUUUUCGGAUCUCCUCUAUACUUGACUUCUGAGCCGAUCGAGAAAUAGGGAAGGUGAAACCCUUGGCAUCGUCUUUUAUGUACAUAAAUAUAGAACGUGUACUUGUACGUUUCCUUGUGUAUGACGUUUAAUGACAUUCUAGUAAAAAAAGAGAUGUUACAUAUUGUAUAUAGUGUAGAAAAAGAUAUGUUACAUAUUGUAUAUAGUGUAGACAAUUAAACACUUCCCAGUGUCACCACGUGGGACGCCGGUCUCAAGUUUAGGGCAGCCCUCGCUUAAAACGCUUAAAGACCAAGGAGUGGGCCCACCCGAAGAAGAUAUUUUUAUACAGGACCCACGAUCACGGGUACCUAGAGUAAAAUUAAACACCUCGUUUUAGACUAUCCGGCGUCCCAUCGCCAACUGUAACAACGGAACAUUGUCGCGUUCGGCAAAAGAAAAACUUUAACGAUUUUGAUUCGACCUUACGCUGUUCUAAACACGACACGACAACCCGCCGG